UACGAAGGGGGCUAGCGUUGCUCGGAAUUACUGGGCGUAAAGCGUGCGCAGGCGGCCUUCCAAGUCAGGGGUGAAAGCCCAGAGCUCAACUCUGGAAUUGCCUUUGAGACUGUGAGGCUUGAGUACGGGAGAGGUGAGUGGAAUUCCCAGUGUAGAGGUGAAAUUCGUAGAUAUUGGGAAGAGCACCAGUGGCGAAGGCGGCUCACUGGCCCGAAACUGACGCUCAUGCACGACAGCGUGGGGAUCAAACAGG
This 253-nucleotide ribosomal RNA is filed under the name uncultured bacterium. RNAcentral's name for it is "partial 16S ribosomal RNA". It matches the Rfam family "Bacterial small subunit ribosomal RNA", at positions 524 to 776 of the family's 1533-position model. The record is from RNAcentral.